This 365-nucleotide ribosomal RNA is filed under the name uncultured beta proteobacterium. Its description in RNAcentral is "bacterial SSU rRNA". It matches the Rfam family "Bacterial small subunit ribosomal RNA", at positions 1082 to 1454 of the family's 1533-position model. Lineage: Bacteria; Pseudomonadati; Pseudomonadota; Betaproteobacteria. The record is from RNAcentral.
AAGUCCCGCAACGAGCGCAACCCUUGUCUUUAGUUGCUACGCAAGAGCACUCUAAAGAGACUGCCGGUGACAAACCGGAGGAAGGUGGGGAUGACGUCAAGUCCUCAUGGCCCUUAUGGGUAGGGCUUCACACGUCAUACAAUGGUGCAUACAGAGGGUUGCCAACCCGCGAGGGGGAGCUAAUCUCAGAAAAUGCAUCGUAAUCCGGAUCGUAGUCUGCAACUCGACUACGUGAAGCUGGAAUCGCUAGUAAUCGCGGAUCAGAAUGUCGCGGUGAAUACGUUCCCGGGUCUUGUACACACCGCCCGUCAUACCAUGGGAGUGGGUUUUGCCAGAAGCCGUUAGCCUAACCGCAAGGAGGCGAC